Solea senegalensis (Senegalese sole) is the source of this 523-nucleotide long non-coding RNA. RefSeq lists it as uncharacterized. The record is from RefSeq and is a predicted model, not a curated record. Lineage: Eukaryota; Metazoa; Chordata; Actinopteri; Pleuronectiformes; Soleidae. The transcript has 3 exons.
UCAGCUGAUGAGCGCUGAUUGCUUCCUCCUCCUCCUCCUCCUCUUCUUAUUUAAUCUUCAUCCAGCCAACAGUUCCGUGAUGUUACUUUGAAGAGAAGCUGCACGAGCCGUGGAAGGAAAGAAACAAAGUGUCGCCGCUUAACUAAUGAAACUGUUCCGGGAGGAGGGAACUUGUGGCGGUAAUGCACCAACCGCCAUGAAACAUCAAAAAAGAACGAGGGAAGUUUAAAAAAAGAAGGGAAACAAAAGGAAAACUACCUCGGCGUGACGUCAGACGCCGAAAAGGUGGCCUCGUGGCAGCAAGGCGCUCCAGGGUGGCGUGUUCGGCCUGGUCCAGAUUGGUGUCCCGUCCAGAAUGGAACAACCUGCUUCCUGCUCACAGAGACCUGGUCUGACGCGCCAUAUUCAAAAGCCUGAGGCUGUCAAAAAAAGAUUGAUCUUCAUGAAGAUCGUCAAAGAGUAGGUGUGAUGAUUUAACUCUGGGUGGCCGCUGUGUCCCCACUCUUUCUUGGCCGCUGUGCCU